RNAcentral lists this ribosomal RNA (605 nucleotides) under Rhizopus arrhizus. RNAcentral describes it as "eukaryotic LSU rRNA". The stretch from base 210 to 363 matches the Rfam family "5.8S ribosomal RNA". The record is from RNAcentral. Lineage: Eukaryota; Fungi; Mucoromycota; Mucoromycetes; Mucorales; Rhizopodaceae.
AUCGGAAGGAUCAUUAAUUAUGUUAAAGCGCCUUACCUUAGGGUUUCCUCUGGGGUAAGUGAUUGCUUCUACACUGUGAAAAUUUGGCUGAGAGACUCAGACUGGUCAUGGGUAGACCUAUCUGGGGUUUGAUCGAUGCCACUCCUGGUUUCAGGAGUACCCUUCAUAAUAAACCUAGAAAUUCAGUAUUAUAAAGUUUAAUAAAAAACAACUUUUAACAAUGGAUCUCUUGGUUCUCGCAUCGAUGAAGAACGUAGCAAAGUGCGAUAACUAGUGUGAAUUGCAUAUUCAGUGAAUCAUCGAGUCUUUGAACGCAGCUUGCACUCUAUGGUUUUUCUAUAGAGUACGCCUGCUUCAGUAUCAUCACAAACCCACACAUAACAUUUGUUUAUGUGGUGAUGGGUCGCAUCGCUGUUUUAUUACAGUGAGCACCUAAAAUGUGUGUGAUUUUCUGUCUGGCUUGCUAGGCAGGAAUAUUACGCUGGUCUCAGGAUCUUUUUUUUUGGUUCGCCCAGGAAGUAAAGUACAAGAGUAUAAUCCAGUAACUUUCAAACUAUGAUCUGAAGUCAGGUGGGAUCUACCCGCUGAACUUAAGCAUAUCAAAA